This 376-nucleotide ribosomal RNA is filed under the name uncultured bacterium. Its description in RNAcentral is "bacterial SSU rRNA". It matches the Rfam family "Bacterial small subunit ribosomal RNA", at positions 524 to 898 of the family's 1533-position model. The record is from RNAcentral.
UACGUAGGUGGCAAGCGUUGUCCGGAUUUACUGGGCGUAAAGGGAGUGUAGGCGGAUACUUAAGUCAGAUGUGAAAUACCCGGGCUCAACUUGGGUGCUGCAUUUGAAACUGGGUGUCUAGAGUGCAGGAGAGGAAAGUGGAAUUCCUAGUGUAGCGGUGAAAUGCGUAGAGAUUAGGAAGAACACCAGUGGCGAAGGCGACUUUCUGGACUGUAACUGACGCUGAGGCUCGAAAGCGUGGGGAGCAAACAGGAUUAGAUACCCUGGUAGUCCACGCCGUAAACGAUGGGUACUAGGUGUGGGAGGUAGCGAAUCCGUCCGUGCCGCCGUAAACACAAUAAGUAACCCGCCUGGGGAGUACGGUCGCAAGAUUAAA